This 989-nucleotide ribosomal RNA is filed under the name human gut metagenome. RNAcentral describes it as "bacterial LSU rRNA". It matches the Rfam family "Bacterial large subunit ribosomal RNA", at positions 1934 to 2925 of the family's 2925-position model. The record is from RNAcentral.
CCGUAACUAUAACGGUCCUAAGGUAGCGAAAUUCCUUGUCGGGUAAGUUCCGACCCGCACGAAAGGCGUAACGAUUUGGGCACUGUCUCAACAACAGACUCGGUGAAAUUGUAAUACCGGUGAAGAUGCCGGUUACCUGCGACAGGACGGAAAGACCCCAUGGAGCUUUACUGUAGCUUGACGUUGGGUCUUGGUACUACAUGUACAGGAUAGGUGGGAGACUAUGAAGCAUGGACGCCAGUCUGUGUGGAGUCAUCCUUGGGAUACCACCCUUGUAGUACUGGGAUCCUAACCAUAGGCCUUGAAUCAGGUCUUGGAACACCGUCAGGUGGGCAGUUUGACUGGGGCGGUCGCCUCCUAAAAAGUAACGGAGGCGCUCAAAGGUUUCCUCAGCACGGUCGGAAAUCGUGCGAAGAGUGUAAAGGCAAAAGGAAGCUUGAUUGCAAGACAUACAGGUCGAGCAAGGACGAAAGUCGGACUUAGUGAUCCGGUGGUUCCGCAUGGAAGGGCCAUCGCUCAACGGAUAAAAGCUACCCUGGGGAUAACAGGCUUAUCUCCCCCAAGAGUCCACAUCGACGGGGAGGUUUGGCACCUCGAUGUCGGCUCAUCACAUCCUGGGGCUGUAGUAGGUCCCAAGGGUUGGGCUGUUCGCCCAUUAAAGUGGUACGCGAGCUGGGUUCAGAACGUCGUGAGACAGUUCGGUCCCUAUCCGUCGCAGGCGUAGGAAAUUUGAGGAGACCUGUCCUUAGUACGAGAGGACCGGGAUGGACGUACCGCUGGUGUACCAGUUGUUCUGCCAAGGGCAUAGCUGGGUAGCUAAGUACGGAAAGGAUAAGCGCUGAAAGCAUCUAAGCGCGAAGCCCACUUCAAGAUAAGAUUUCCCACCGCAAGGUUAAGAUCCCAGGAAGACUACCUGGUUGAUAGGUCAGAGGUGUAAGUGCAGUAAUGUAUUUAGCUUACUGAUACUAAUAGAUCGAGGACUUGACCAA